UACAGAACUAACAGUUUUACCCUCACGUACGUGUCUUGGAAAAUUCAAGAAACUAUAAGAUGAAGGAACGUUCACUUUUUGUGUUUGUGCCAAGAUGAAGUAUUUUUUUAUUAUAAUGCUGAUUAUCUUGUUUCGACAACUGAAGGAAAAUUCACAGAAUGAAAUUACACUAUUUUCUACAACAUAAACAGAAUUAUGAGAAAAACCAAAGAAAGACCAAGAACUCAAGACUGCGGUGGAUUACCAGCCUGAUUACAGUGGGGCAAUAAAUUUUCAUAAUAAACGCUGUUCACAUAUA
Cimex lectularius (bed bug) is the source of this 298-nucleotide long non-coding RNA. RefSeq lists it as uncharacterized. Lineage: Eukaryota; Metazoa; Arthropoda; Insecta; Hemiptera; Cimicidae. The record is from RefSeq and is a predicted model, not a curated record. The transcript is spliced from 2 exons.